Long non-coding RNA from Salvia hispanica, 1537 nucleotides. RefSeq lists it as uncharacterized. Lineage: Eukaryota; Viridiplantae; Streptophyta; Magnoliopsida; Lamiales; Lamiaceae. The record is from RefSeq and is a predicted model, not a curated record.
UCACUAAAAUUAUUUAUUCUUUGGAGACCAAAGAUCCAACACCAAAUCUCCUUGUGUGGAUAGCUCUCCUCUACAUUCUUCAAGAUUGAUUACUCUCCUUCCCUUACAGGCACGUAACUAUCCAACCAUUCAACGGCAGAAAUCGAGAGUUCAAAGGGGCUGCCUAAUUCUCUUCCAAUAAGCAUCCCAAAUUCAAAGCUCGUUGAAAGGUAUACUCCCUCUCAAUUUCAAGUCCCAUACAUAGCAUAUCGUCAUCCACCACUCCCCCACAAGUAAUUUAGUCAAUCAAUCUCAAACUCCAACAAUUGAACACCCAUCACAGAGUAAUUGAAAACUGAAAACGAAAGAACAUUGCUUUGUAAAAGAACUUCACUUUCGGGGUUGUUUUGAAUGGUUCGGGGGCUGCCGGAUACCGGCGAGGUUGUUUCGUAUGACGGAGGCGGCGGCGCAUCAGAACAGCAGCGGCGUUGCUCUCCCACCGACGGAGUUCGCGAGGCAGCAAGACGAUGGCGGCGGUUGGAGCCCUAGGCUCGGCAACAACAGCCAGCGAUCAGGGGGGGAGUGAGAGGCUGAGAGCAGCGUCGAGAGAGGAAGAGGGAGUGGGGGAAGAAAGAAAGAAAGAGAGAGAGAAGAGAAGAGGAGCACUGCCGGAGACGUGUAGCAGGUAGUGAGAAGUGGGGAGCUUCUCUCCCAUCAAAGUAAGAUUUGGAUCAGAAUGGUGAGGCAGAUGAAAUGGAUAGUUGUACGUGGCUUCUUUUCUUAUUGGGUUCCGAAAUAUUCAUUUGGGAUAAGUGAGUGGAAGAAUUAAAAUUCGAGCCCAACUAAGGAGGCCCAGUUCCGAAAUUUAAUUACUAGGGUUGAAAAUAAAGGGAAGUCUUGGCCCAAUUUCGAAAUCUGAAUUUAUUGGGAGGGAUUCAAUAUUAAAUUUUAUCCUAAGUUAUCGGUAUUUAUAUAUAUGGUUUAUUAAGUUUUAAAUUAAGCUUCAAUCGGUAUUUAUAUAUAUGUUUAUUUUAAAGUAUAGCUAAUCUAAAAUAAUUGAUCUUUGGCUUUGUUAGAAUUCUGCAGGAGUAAAAUUCAUUGUAAAGUAUGGACUUCCAAUUUAGUCAAAGCCCAGGAAUAUUGAAAGGAGUAUUAAAUAAUAUAUGAGUUUCAAAAGUUUCAAAGGAUAAGCGAAAAAUGAGAGGGCUUAAUUAGAAGGCAUGCAUUUCCUAUUAAAGAUAAAAAAAAUUUUUCUUGAAGUCUAAUUAGUAUUUUAUAUUAUAUUGUAUUUUCUUGAAAAAGGUUAUCUCCGCAAGUUAAGGUCGGAACGAGAAAAUCAAGUUAAGGAAAUUAAACAAACUAGGUUGAGCAGUGACGGUGGAGAAUGCUGAGUAGAGUUAUGAUUUUCCUUUUAUUUUAAGUAGAGGCUCUCGGUGGUGCAUGUCACCAUACAUGUGACCGUGUUCAUUCCGCUGCGUACUAAGAUUCUAGUUAACCUCGAUUGCUCUUCUGUACUCUGAUAAUUAUUUAUUGAAAAGUAAGAUUUCCAUUCAAGUUC